CCCUUAGAUGUUCUGGGCCGCACGCGUGCUACACUGAGUGGAUCAGCGGGUCAGGUUGCGCGAAAGUGUUUCCUAAUCUUUAAAUCCGCUCGUGAUGGGGAUUGACGGUUGCAAUUUUCCGUCAUGAACGAGGAAUACCUUGUAAGCGCGGGUCAUCAUCCCGCGCUGAAUACGUCCCUGCCCUUUGUACACACCGCCCGUCGCUCCUACCGAUUGAGUGGUCCGGUGAGGCUUUGGGAUCUGAGCGGAAAGAGCGUUUCGCUGUUUCUGCCCGGAAAACUCAGUCGAACCUUAUCAUUUAGAGGAAGUAGAAGUCGUAACA
This 322-nucleotide ribosomal RNA is filed under the name uncultured eukaryote. RNAcentral describes it as "partial 18S ribosomal RNA". It matches the Rfam family "Eukaryotic small subunit ribosomal RNA", at positions 1470 to 1796 of the family's 1831-position model. The record is from RNAcentral.